GCAAUGUGAGAAAUCGCGACGGGGGGAUCCCAAGUGCCAUUCUUAACGGGAUGGCUUUUCAUUAGUGUAAAGAGCUUUUGGAAUAAGAGCUGGGCAAGACCGGUGCCAGCCGCCGCGGUAACACCGGCAGCUCUAGUGGUAACAAUUUUUAUUGGGCCUAAAGCGUCCGUAGCCGGUUUAAUAAGUCUCUGGUGAAAUCCUGUAGCUUAACUGUGGGAAUUGCUGGAGAUACUAUUAGACUUGAGACCGGGAGAGGUUAGAGGUACUCCCAGGGUAGAGGUGAAAUUCUGUAAUCCUGGGAGGACCGCCUGUUGCGAAGGCGUCUAACUGGAACGGUUCUGACGGUGAGGGACGAAAGUUAGGGGCGCGAACCGGAUUAGAUACCCGGGUAGUCCUAACUGUAAACGAUGCGGACUUGGUGUUGGGGUGGCUUUGAGCUGCUCCAGUGCCGAAGGGAAGCUGUUAAGUCCGCCGCCUGGGAAGUACGGUCGCAAGACUGAAACUUAA
RNAcentral lists this ribosomal RNA (507 nucleotides) under uncultured archaeon. RNAcentral's name for it is "bacterial SSU rRNA". It matches the Rfam family "Archaeal small subunit ribosomal RNA", at positions 352 to 859 of the family's 1478-position model. The record is from RNAcentral.